GUAGUCUCGCACAGAUGCAUAUCAAUAAGCGGAGGAAAAGAAACUAACAAGGAUUCCCCUAGUAACGGCGAGUGAAGCGGGAAGAGCUCAAAUUUGAAAUCUUAAAGGGUUUCCCUUUACGAAUUGUAGUUUAAAGAAGUGUUUUCUGUUGAGGUUUUGGUAAAAGUUCUUUGGAAUAGGACAUCAUAGAGGGUGAGAAUCCCGUAUUUGACCUUUACUUUCAACUUUGUGAUACACUUUCAAAGAGUCGGAUUGUUUGGGAAUGCAGUCCAAAAUGGGUGGUAAAUUUCAUCUAAAGCUAAAUAUUGGCGAGAGACCGAUAGCGAACAAGUACCGUGAGGGAAAGAUGAAAAGAACUUUGAAAAGAGAGUUAAACAGUACGUGAAAUUGUCAAAAGGGAAGCGUUUGACACCAGUGUUGUUUUUCUGAAAAUCAAUUAAAGAACUGUUUAUGCUAAGCUGUUUAGACUUUAUCAGCUAUCUGUUUAGUUUUGAGCUUUUCUUUAAUGCACUUUUCAGUUAACAAGUCAACAUCAAUUUCUUUUGCUGUAAAAAAGCUUGAGGAAGGUGGCUUGAGAUUCGUCUUAAGUGUUUAUAGCCUCUUGCCUAUGCAGUCGGAGAGAUUGAGGUCUGCAGCGUAGAUCCUUCGGGGCUAAAUGCAUUUGUGCUAAGUUAUAGCAUUUUAUAGACAACUUGUUGACUAUGAUUUGUCUUGUAGCUUACUCGCUUAUGUUAUUUUACCUACGCUUAGGAUGUUGAAGACUCUACAGAGAUA
This 774-nucleotide ribosomal RNA is filed under the name uncultured Neocallimastigales. RNAcentral's name for it is "partial large subunit ribosomal RNA". It matches the Rfam family "Eukaryotic large subunit ribosomal RNA", at positions 24 to 633 of the family's 3401-position model. Lineage: Eukaryota; Fungi; Neocallimastigomycota; Neocallimastigomycetes; Neocallimastigales. The record is from RNAcentral.